RNAcentral lists this ribosomal RNA (526 nucleotides) under uncultured bacterium. RNAcentral describes it as "bacterial SSU rRNA". It matches the Rfam family "Bacterial small subunit ribosomal RNA", at positions 983 to 1509 of the family's 1533-position model. The record is from RNAcentral.
GACAUCCAGAGAACUUAGCAGAGAUGCUUUGGUGCCUUCGGGAACUCUGAGACAGGUGCUGCAUGGCUGUCGUCAGCUCGUGUUGUGAAAUGUUGGGUUAAGUCCCGNAACGAGCGCAACCCUUAUCCUUUGUUGCCAGCGGCUCGGCCGGGAACUCAAAGGAGACUGCCGGUGAUAAACCGGAGGAAGGUGGGGAUGACGUCAAGUCAUCAUGGCCCUUACGGCCAGGGCUACACACGUGCUACAAUGGCGCAUACAAAGAGAAGCGACCUCGCGAGAGCAAGCGGACCUCAUAAAGUGCGUCGUAGUCCGGAUUGGAGUCUGCAACUCGACUCCAUGAAGUCGGAAUCGCUAGUAAUCGUAGAUCAGAAUGCUACGGUGAAUACGUUCCCGGGCCUUGUACACACCGCCCGUCACACCAUGGGAGUGGGUUGCAAAAGAAGUAGGUAGCUUAACCUUCGGGAGGGCGCUUACCACUUUGUGAUUCAUGACUGGGGUGAAGUCGUAACAAGGUAGGCGUACGUGU